CUUGGUGCCUCGUGGAUUUAUGCAUGUGACAGUGAAAAUAAAUUAAAACACUGUGAGACGGAACCUAAGAAGAACGGCCUGCAGAAAUACAGCCCUGUCUGAAGUGGCAAAGAGCGGAAAUAAGGGAGGAGAAUAAUCAAUCAUCACAUGCCUAUUUCACGGGAGAAAUGAUGGAAACGGAUAAUAGUCGCCUCUCGCCAAAGGUGGAAAAAGUGGAAAUGAGCUACUCAGAGGAUGCUAUUGGACUCCAGCUAAAUUCACAACUCUGCGGGUGACCGUCACCUCCGUACUCCCAGCCAACCUCCUGAUCCUGGCACCCCAGGUGGACAAACUUUCACGAAGCCUCCAGACACACGGCCGCGAGGGCAGCAGGAACCACCGUCUGCUUUUUCUUGUCACGGGUCGCGGGAUCCCAUCCAACACCACAAGCAGCCAGGGCAGCCUGGCCUUGCUUGGUCCCGUGGGCGGCAUGCCUCCUCCAUCCGCCGCGGGAUGCGACUGUGGCCGCACGAGGUAGGGGCCAGGCGACCAGCUGGUCACACGCUUGCAGAGGAAGGCCAGGUACUUUAACUUGUUCCUGAGAAAUAGCCAUUAAGGAUGUUCAUGCCCACUCAGCAUGUGACUACUACCUUCCCGCCCAGAGUACCACCUGCUUGGCCAUGAUGGGUGCCUGGUAGCCCAGGAGAUGGCCUCAGCCAUCAAGCACCAGACCUGCCUUACUGCCAUCUUCAGCAGAAACCUGGGGACAAGUUUUCAUUGAACAAAUGUUUAUUGAGCACCUACUAUUUACGUUACACAGACCUAUGCACUGAAAAUACACCUGUGAAGAAAGCCAUAUUCCUGUCUUCCUGGACCUUACUUUCAGAGUGGAAGAGACAGAAAAUCAAUAAACAAAUAGGUAACAGUAACAAAUCUGAUAUGAAUCAGUACAGUUCAGAAAAGUAAGGCAUGGCAAGGAGAGGGAGAGAAAUUUGGGUUCUAUUUGAGAUAAGGUGGUCAGAGAAGGCUUCUGUGAUGAGGUGACGCUGAGCAGGGACUUGAACGCUGAGUAGCAAGUCAUGUGGGCAAAAAUGGAACGAGAGCAAAGAGAGGGCUUGGCAUAUUGGAGGCAUGGUAAAUAGGGUUGGGAGGUGGAAAAGAGGAAGUGUGGGUCAAACAGGGCUUCAGUGAGGAAUUUGAAUUUUAUUCUAAUUGUGAUGGAGACCACUGGAUGGUCUCAAGCAGGGGAAUGACAUUUUAAAAGGCCAAUGUGGCUGCUAUGGGUGGAAUGGAUUGCAGGUGGAAUCAAGAAAACCAGUCAGGAGGCUACUGUGGUUCUCAGGCAACAGAUGAUGUGGCUUGGACUAGGGGGGAGUGAUGGAGCUGGGGAGAAGGGGCUGAUUUCUGGAUCGAUUUUGAAGACAGAUUAGAUUGGACCUACUGAUGGGCUGGAUAUUGGGUGUGAGGGAAAGAGAAUAGCCAAGGAGGACCCAAGGUUUUCUUUUAUAUUUAUUCAUUGGAAAAAGUGCUGAGCUUUAUGCAGGCAUGUGCUAGGCACCGGAGAUGUAAAGAUGAACAAGACACAAUUAGUGCCUUCAAGGAGUCACAGUGUACUACUUCAGAUCUCUAGACUUUGAGGGGCAAGUACAGAGUGCUGUGAAGUGGGUACGGAGAGAACAGAUUGUUCUGUAUUUCGGACUUGGGGGAGGUUUUGGUUUUAGUUCGAGUUUGAAGGGAAAAUAAGAGUUCACUGGAUGCAGAAAGUAGGAAAGAGUAUUCAAGAAGGUGGUAUCAGCAAGAGCUCAGUGGGUUGUGGGAAUGAUAAGGGGUGCCUGGGCUAGUGAUAGAAGAGGGGGCUGGAAAAUCAGGUUGGGUACCUGGGAACCCUAGGUACUAGCUAAGGAGUGAGAACUUCAUCCUAAAGACAGUGAGAAGAGUUUUAAGCAGGAGAGUGAUAAGGGUGAUCCUUCCUCUUUAUCUAACAGGUGAGUUAACUCACUGAUGCUUGAACUAAAACUUGUUAAGUGUGUGUUGUUUCAGUCUGAGUACCAUAUUUUAGAUUUCCUUUAUCAAGAAAUGAAAUUUCUUUUUAUCUUAUUGGUAUUGGCAAAAGCAGAAGCACUACUGCCCUUAGGAUGGAUAAAUACUAUUAAUCUUGCAGUUAAUGUUUAUUGAACAUCAGGGACUUCCCUGGUGGCGCAGUGGUUAAGAAUCUGCCUGCCAAUGCAGGGAACAUGGGUUCGAGCCCUGGUCCGGGAAGAUCCGACAUGCCGCGGAGCAA
Physeter macrocephalus (sperm whale) is the source of this 2260-nucleotide long non-coding RNA. RefSeq lists it as uncharacterized. The transcript is spliced from 4 exons. The record is from RefSeq and is a predicted model, not a curated record. Lineage: Eukaryota; Metazoa; Chordata; Mammalia; Artiodactyla; Physeteridae.